This is a small nuclear RNA of Papio anubis (olive baboon), 105 nucleotides long. The record is from Ensembl. Lineage: Eukaryota; Metazoa; Chordata; Mammalia; Primates; Cercopithecidae.
GUGCUCGCUUCGGCAGCACAUAUGCUAAAAUUGGAACGAUACAGAGAAGAUAGCAGGCCACUGCGCAAGGAUGACAUGCAAAUUCAUGGAGCAUUCCAUAUUUUU